GUGCUUGCUUUGGCAGCACAUACACUAAAAUUAGAAUGACACAGAGAAGAUUCAUAUGGCCCCUGUGCAAGAAUGACAUGCAAAUUUUUGAAGUGUUCCAUAUUUUU
Molecule: small nuclear RNA, 107 nt
Organism: Artibeus jamaicensis (Jamaican fruit-eating bat)
Lineage: Eukaryota; Metazoa; Chordata; Mammalia; Chiroptera; Phyllostomidae
Source: RefSeq, a predicted model, not a curated record